AGCGGAGCGUGUGGUUUAAUUCGUUGCUACACGAAGAACCUUACCUGGGUUUGACAUAGCAGUGGUAGGGAAGAGAAAUCGGACCGACCUUCGGGAGCUGUUACAGGUGUUGCAUGGCUGUCGUCAGCUCGUGUCGUGAGAUGUUCGGUUAAGUCCGCUAACGAGCGCAACCCGCGUUGUGUGUUAUAUGUGUCACACAAUACCGCCGGUAUUAAGCCGGAGGAAGGUGCGGAUGACGUCAAGUCAGCAUGACCUUUAUAUCCAGGGCUACACACACGCUACAAUGGACAGUACAACAGGUUGCCAAGCCGCGAGGCGGAGCCAAUCCUCUAAAGCUGUCCUCAGUUCAGAUUGCAGGCUGCAACUCGCCUGCAUGAAGUUGGAGUUGCUAGUAACCGCAGGUCAGCUAUACUGCGGUGAAUACGUUCCCGGGGAUU
This 437-nucleotide ribosomal RNA is filed under the name uncultured Anaerolineaceae bacterium. RNAcentral's name for it is "bacterial SSU rRNA". It matches the Rfam family "Bacterial small subunit ribosomal RNA", at positions 931 to 1378 of the family's 1533-position model. The record is from RNAcentral. Lineage: Bacteria; Bacillati; Chloroflexota; Anaerolineae; Anaerolineales; Anaerolineaceae.